Molecule: non-coding RNA, 250 nt
Organism: Pelobates cultripes (western spadefoot toad)
Lineage: Eukaryota; Metazoa; Chordata; Amphibia; Anura; Pelobatidae
Source: the annotation of a GenBank genome assembly
UGGAACGUAUGCAUUGCCACACGCAUAAAUACACACUUACACAAACUGACACUCAUACAUACACAGAUACACAUACACAGACACGCAGGUACACAUACAAACUGACACACAAGUACACGGGCACAGGUAUACAUCCACAUAGAUACACAUAAACACUGACACAAAGGUACACAUACACUGACACAGCCAGAUACACACACACUGACACAAACACAGCCAGAUACACACACACUGACACUCACAUAGCCAG